This 1195-nucleotide ribosomal RNA is filed under the name Scorpiops jendeki. RNAcentral describes it as "16S ribosomal RNA". The record is from RNAcentral. Lineage: Eukaryota; Metazoa; Arthropoda; Arachnida; Scorpiones; Euscorpiidae.
AUAUUUAUUUAAAAUAUUUUAGAAAAAAAAAUUUUCUGUUUAGUAAUAUUAUUGAAUUUAUUUUUUAAUUUAGUACUGUGAAGGAAACAAAAAUAUUUUUUUAGAAAAAUUUAAUUUUUGUACCUUUUGUAUCAGGGAAUUACAAUAAUAUUUUAAAUUAAAAUCUCCCGAAAUUAAUCGAGCUAAUUUUAUUUAAAUAAAUGUAACAUAAUGAUUAAAAUUAAAAUUAGUGAUGAAAUGUCAUUCGUGAUUAGUGAUAUCUGGUUCCUUAAAUUAAACUUUAUGUUGUUUAUUUAAAAUAAAACAAAUUAAUUAGGAUAAGCUAAUUAAAUUUUUAUCUAACUUAUAAAUUAUAUAAAAGGAAUAAAAGUUUCUAUUAGUUUUAUAACUAAAUCUAUUAACAUAAAAUUUAAAUAAAAAUUGGAAUUAAAAUAAAUUUUAAAUUUUUUGUAUAAUGUAAUUAUUAGUAGAAUUAUAAUUUUAAUAUAAAAUUAAAAUUUAAUUUAUAUUUAUAUAUUUAAAUUAAAAUAAGGAACUAAAAUUUAGUUAGCCUGUUUACCAAAAACAUGGUUUUUAGUAAUAUUAUUAAAAAUCUGACCUGCCCAAUGCUAACGUUAAUGGCCGCGGUAUUUUAACUGUGCUAAGGUAGCAUAAUCAUUAGUCUUUUAAUUUAGGACUGGAAUGAAUGGUUGGACUGACUUACAUUGUCUCAUUUUAAUAUUUUGAAUUUCAUAUUUUAGUAAAAAAGCUAAAAUUUAUUUUAAAGACGAGAAGACCCUAUCAAGCUUUAUAAUCUAUUUUUAUUUUCAAAAUAAAAUUAAAAUUAUUUGGCUGGGGCAGCAAAUAGAAAAUUUCUAUUUUAUUAUUUUGGUAAAUUAACCUUGUUAAAUCAAAAAAUUUUUAAUAAAGAAUAAGUUACUGUAGGGAUAACAGCAUAAUUUUUUUUAAGAGAUCUUAUCAUCAAAAAAGUUUGUGACCUCGAUGUUGGAUUAAGAUUCCUAAUUUGUGCAAUAGUAAAAUAAGGAAGUCUGUUCGACUUUUAAAUUCUUCCAUGAUCUGAGUUCAAACCGGUGUAAGCCAGGUUGGUUUUUAUCUUAAAAUUUAAAAUCUUAUUUUAGUACGAAAGGACCAAAUAGGAGAAAUAUUUUCAAUUAAUAUUUUAACUUUAAUUCAAUAUAGCAAAAUAAUUAUGCAU